RNAcentral lists this ribosomal RNA (265 nucleotides) under Salmonella enterica subsp. enterica serovar Braenderup. Its description in RNAcentral is "partial 23S ribosomal RNA". It matches the Rfam family "Bacterial large subunit ribosomal RNA", at positions 455 to 722 of the family's 2925-position model. Lineage: Bacteria; Pseudomonadati; Pseudomonadota; Gammaproteobacteria; Enterobacterales; Enterobacteriaceae. The record is from RNAcentral.
AUCCUCCAAGGCUAAAUACUCCUGACUGACCGAUAGUGAACCAGUACCGUGAGGGAAAGGCGAAAAGAACCCCGGCGAGGGGAGUGAAAAAGAACCUGAAACCGUGUACGUACAAGCAGUGGGAGCCUCUUUUAUGGGGUGACUGCGUACCUUUUGUAUAAUGGGUCAGCGACUUAUAUUCUGUAGCAAGGUUAACCGUAUAGGGGAGCCGGAGGGAAACCGAGUCUUAAUUGGGCGUUAAGUUGCAGGGUAUAGACCCGAAACC